Non-coding RNA from Pseudoramibacter alactolyticus ATCC 23263, 336 nucleotides. It matches the Rfam family "Bacterial RNase P class A". Rfam says of the family: Ribonuclease P (RNase P) is a ubiquitous endoribonuclease, found in archaea, bacteria and eukarya as well as chloroplasts and mitochondria. Its best characterised activity is the generation of mature 5'-ends of tRNAs by cleaving the 5'-leader elements of precursor-tRNAs. Cellular RNase Ps are ribonucleoproteins. NCBI's taxonomy places the organism in Bacteria, Bacillati, Bacillota, Clostridia, Eubacteriales, Eubacteriaceae. The record is from Rfam.
UGACUAGGCCGGAUAAUCGCGGGGCAACCUGAGGAAAGUCCGAGCUCCACAGGGCAGAAUGCCGGAUAACGUCCGGUGAAGGCAACUUUAAGGCAAGUGCAACAGAAAGCAAACCGCCGCAUGUCGGUAAGGGUGAAAGGGUGAGGCAAGAGCUCACCAGUGGUUAAAGUAAUUGGCCAGCUGGGUAAACCCCAUUCGGAGCAAGACCAAGAAAGAGUGUUAAAAGGCGGCGGCCCGUCGCUGCUCAAUGGUAGGUCGCUUGAGUCCGCCGGUGACGGCGCGGAACCAGAUAGAUGAUUAUCAAGACAGAACUCGGCUUACAGGCUUAGUCGUAAA